Molecule: ribosomal RNA, 1011 nt
Filed under: Treponema sp. oral taxon G77
Lineage: Bacteria; Pseudomonadati; Spirochaetota; Spirochaetia; Treponematales; Treponemataceae
Description: bacterial SSU rRNA
Rfam family: Bacterial small subunit ribosomal RNA
Source: RNAcentral
AACGAACGCUGGCGGCGCGUCUUAAGCAUGCAAGUCGAACGGCAAGAGAGGAGCUUGCUUCUCUCCUAGAGUGGCGGACUGGUGAGGAACACGUGGGUAAUCUACCCUUAAGAUGGGGAUAGCUGCUAGAAAUAGCAGAUAAUACCGAAUACACUCGAUAUUUCAUAAGAGAUUUUGAGGAAAGGAAGCUACGGCUUCGCUUAAGGAUGAGCUUGCGUCCCAUUAGCUUGUUGGUGAGGUAACGGCCCACCAAGGCGACGAUGGGUAUCCGGCCUGAGAGGGUGAUCGGACACAUUGGGACUGAGAUACGGCCCACACUCCUACGGGAGGCAGCAGCUAAGAAUAUUCCGCAAUGGACGGAAGUCUGACGGAGCGACGCCGCGUGGAUGAAGAAGGCUGAAAAGUUGUAAAAUCCUUUUGUUGAUGAAGAAUAAGGAGAAGAGGGAAUGCUUCUCUGAUGACGGUAAUCGACGAAUAAGCCCCGGCUAAUUACGUGCCAGCAGCCGCGGUAACACGUGAGGGGCGAGCGUUGUUCGGAAUUAUUGGGCGUAAAGGGCAUGUAGGCGGUUAUGUAAGCCUGAUGUGAAAUCCUGGGGCUAUAACCCCAGAAUAGCAUUGGGUACUGUAUAACUUGAAUUACGGAAGGGAAACUGGAAUUCCAAGUGUAGCGGGUGGAAUCUGUAGAUAUUUGGAAGAACACCGGUGGCGAAGGCGGGUUUCAUGGCCGAUAAUUGACGCUGAGAUGCGAUAGUGUGGGGAUCGAACAGAGAUUAGAUACCCUGGUAGUCCACACCGUAAACGAUGUACACUACGUGUCGGGGCAAGAGCUUCGGUGCCGUAAGCAAACACAUGAAGUGUACCGCCUGGGAAGUAUGCCCACCAGGGUGAAACUCCAAGGAAUUGACGGUGGCCCACACAAGCGGUGGAGCAUGUGGUUAGUCGAUGAUAUGCAGAAACUUAGCUGGUGGACAUCGGAGCAUGACUCAGAUAUGCUCGUAGUAUACUGCUCUG